RNAcentral lists this ribosomal RNA (247 nucleotides) under uncultured bacterium. RNAcentral's name for it is "partial 16S ribosomal RNA". It matches the Rfam family "Bacterial small subunit ribosomal RNA", at positions 109 to 353 of the family's 1533-position model. The record is from RNAcentral.
AGUAACACGUGGGCAACCUGCCUUACAGAGGGGAUAGCCUUCCGAAAGGAAGAUUAAUACCGCAUAUUAUGAUUUUUCUGCAUGGGAAAGUCAUGAAAGGAGCAAUCCGCUGUAAGAUGGGCCCGCGGCGCAUUAGCUAGUUGGUGAGGUAAGGGCUCACCAAGGCGACGAUGCGUAGCCGACCUGAGAGGGUGAUCGGCCACAUUGGGACUGAGACACGGCCCAGACUCCUACGGGAGGCAGCAUG